Molecule: ribosomal RNA, 260 nt
Filed under: uncultured bacterium
Lineage: Bacteria
Description: partial 16S ribosomal RNA
Rfam family: Bacterial small subunit ribosomal RNA
Source: RNAcentral
UUGUGGGGUGCUCGAGUGGCGAACGGGUGAGUAAUACGUGAGUAACCUGCCCUUGACUCUGGGAUAAGCCUGGGAAACUGGGUCUAAUACUGGAUAUGACAUGUCACCGCAUGGUGGUGUGUGGAAAGGGUUUUACUGGUUUUGGAUGGGCUCACGGCCUAUCAGCUUGUUGGUGGGGUAAUGGCUCACCAAGGCGACGACGGGUAGCCGGCUUGAGAGGGUGACCGGCCACACUGGGACUGAGACACGGCCCAGACUCC